Molecule: long non-coding RNA, 645 nt
Filed under: Sinocyclocheilus grahami
Lineage: Eukaryota; Metazoa; Chordata; Actinopteri; Cypriniformes; Cyprinidae
Description: lncRNA (ENSSGRG00000013036.1)
Source: RNAcentral
CACACACACACACACUCUCUCUCACACACUCUGUUGUUGUUGUUGUAGGGAGUGCAGGUGUGGGGUUGGCUGGUGGUGUCUGAAGGUUCUCCGUGGGUCCGUGUUCUUCCCGUGCAGCGAUGCCAAACCGUCUGCCGCUCCUUCAGUCUGUGGCUGGAGCCGGGAGACGCAGUGUUCGCAGACCCGCGCUUCUGGCUGCUGGAGCUCUUCCCGUCUGGAGGUCAGAGCGUGCUGUGUGACGGCCCUGUGCUCUGAGAGCCUCAGCAGAGCUUAUAACCUCUCACACACACACACAGAUGCAUCAGCUCUUCUCCUCCGUUCUCUCAUUCAGACCUGCUUGUCUUUCUGCUGAGCUUCUGUGAUCUUCAGUUCUGAAAUGUGAGCCGCACGUGUUCAGCCAAUCAGAGCACUGAGAUCCUGACCGAGCGUUACGCGGCGGAACUCUCCACCAAUCAGAGAUGGCCGGCGGCGAUGACAUCAUCACCCAGCGCACCGCCGUCAGAUCGCGCCGAUGUUUUUUGUCGUCCGGAGUUUAAUCGCUGUAAAUAAUGCGAGUACAUGAUUCAGAGAUUUAUGGUGACUGUGAGUUUACUGCGGGAUUUCUACAGUAAAUAAACGCUGCUGUUCGUGAUUUAUGCCAUUCGU